GACGAACGCUGGCGGCGUGCUUAACACAUGCAAGCCGAACGGAAAGGGCUUGUCGGUGCGGGGUGCGCGAGGGGCGAACGGGGGAGAAGCAUGCGAGCAACCUUCCUUUGACGGUGGGACAACCUCAGGAAACUUGAGUAAAUAAUGGAUAGUUGCUUGUCCUCAAUUGUGGUGGUUGGAUAGUGUCGGCGGUUGUGGAUGGACUCGCGGGUUAUCAGUUUGUUGGUGGAGUAGUGGCUUACCAAGGGUUUGACGGGGAGCCGGCCUGAGAGGGUGACCGGCCACAUUGGGACUGAGCUACGGCCCGGAGUCGUACGGGAGGCAGCAGUGGGGAAUAUUGCACAAUGGGCGCAUGCCGGAUGCAGCAACGCCGCGUGAGGGAUUACGGCCUUCGGGUUGUAAACCGCUUUCGCCCGUGACGAAGCGUGAGUGACGGUAAUAUGCAAAGAAGCACCGGCUAACUCCGUG
This 468-nucleotide ribosomal RNA is filed under the name uncultured bacterium. Its description in RNAcentral is "partial 16S ribosomal RNA". It matches the Rfam family "Bacterial small subunit ribosomal RNA", at positions 28 to 507 of the family's 1533-position model. The record is from RNAcentral.